GUGAUAGACCUUUAGAUUGAAUUUUUUUUUACUUGUCCAUAGGCUAGGUACAGCAUGUGAAGUGGCAGUGCACGCUACCUCCACAAAUGCUCUGCCAAUAUUCCUCAACCCUCAUCUGAAAGGACCCACCUUUAGAGGUGAGGGAACUGAGUCUCCAUGCUAAUUCACCAUUUGAUCCCU
This 180-nucleotide small RNA is filed under the name Crocodylus porosus (Australian saltwater crocodile). RNAcentral describes it as "TUC338 (ENSCPRG00005014033.1)". The record is from RNAcentral. Lineage: Eukaryota; Metazoa; Chordata; Crocodylia; Crocodylidae.